RNAcentral lists this transfer RNA (74 nucleotides) under Pardachirus pavoninus (Pacific sole). Its description in RNAcentral is "tRNA-Leu". It matches the Rfam family "tRNA". Rfam says of the family: Transfer RNA (tRNA) molecules are approximately 80 nucleotides in length. Their secondary structure includes four short double-helical elements and three loops (D, anti-codon, and T loops). Further hydrogen bonds mediate the characteristic L-shaped molecular structure. tRNAs have two regions of fundamental functional importance: the anti-codon, which is responsible for specific mRNA codon recognition, and the 3' end, to which the tRNAs corresponding amino acid is attached (by aminoacyl-tRNA synthetases). tRNAs cope with the degeneracy of the genetic code in two manners: having more than one tRNA (with a specific anti-codon) for a particular amino acid; and 'wobble' base-pairing, i.e. permitting non-standard base-pairing at the 3rd anti-codon position. The record is from RNAcentral. Lineage: Eukaryota; Metazoa; Chordata; Actinopteri; Pleuronectiformes; Soleidae.
GUUAGCGUGGCAGAGCCCGGGAAUUGCAGAAGACCUAAGCUCUUCAAACAGGGGUUCAAUUCCCCUCCCUAACU